This 339-nucleotide ribosomal RNA is filed under the name Triticum aestivum (bread wheat). RNAcentral describes it as "partial small subunit ribosomal RNA". The record is from RNAcentral. Lineage: Eukaryota; Viridiplantae; Streptophyta; Magnoliopsida; Poales; Poaceae.
AUGGCUCCCACCAAGAAGGCGAAGAAGAGCGGGGAGAACAUCAACAACAAGCUGCAGCUGGUGAUGAAGAGCGGCAAGUAUACGCUCGGCUACAAGACCGUCCUCAAGACGCUGCGCAGCUCCAAGGGGAAGCUGAUAAUCCUCGCAAACAACUGCCCGCCCCUGAGGAAGUCAGAGAUUGAGUACUACGCUAUGUUGGCGAAAAUUAGCGUGCACCAUUUCCAUGGAAACAAUGUUGAUCUUGGAACAGCCUGCGGCAAGUACUACCGGGUGUGCUGCCUCAGCAUCCUUGACCCUGGUGACUCGGACAUCAUCAGCACCACCACCACCACCCAGUGA